RNAcentral lists this ribosomal RNA (468 nucleotides) under uncultured bacterium. RNAcentral's name for it is "partial 16S ribosomal RNA". It matches the Rfam family "Bacterial small subunit ribosomal RNA", at positions 28 to 507 of the family's 1533-position model. The record is from RNAcentral.
GACGAACGCUGGCGGCGUGCUUAACACAUGCAAGUCGAACGGAAAGGCCCUGCUUUUGUGGGGUGCUCGAGUGGCGAACGGGUGAGUAACACGUGAGUAACCUGCCCUUGACUUUGGGAUAACUUCAGGAAACUGGGGCUAAUACCGGAUAGGAGCUCCUGCUGCAUGGUGGGGGUUGGAAAGUUUCGGCUGUUGGGGAUGGACUCGCGGCUUAUCAGCUUGUUGGUGGGGUAGGGGCUUACCAAGGCUUUGACGGGUAGCCGGCCUGAGAGGGUGACCGGCCACAUUAGGACUGAGAUACGGCCCAGACUCCUACGGGAGGCAGCAGUGGAGAAUAUUGCACAGUGGGCGGAAGCCUGAGGCAGCAGCGCCGCGUGCGGGAUGACGGCCUUCGGGUUGUAAACCGCUUUCGCCUGUGACGAAGCGUGAGUGACGGUAAUGGGUAAAGAAGCACCGGCUAACUACGUG